AAAUACAAAGCUAAUAGGAAUGGUAAUAGAACACUUAACAGUAAACACUAAACCCAAGUUAAGGAAAUAUAAAUCCAAUCCAUAGGCAACCCAAAUCUCCAAGCAAUUAAAUCCACCUGCCAUAAUACUGGAGACAUAUAUUUACAUUCCUCAUGAGCCACAUGAAAUACAAAGCUAAUGGAGAUGGUAAAGGAACACUUGAUAGUAAACACUAAACCUAAAUUAGAGAAAUAUAAACCCCAAUACAUAGGCAACCCAAAUCUUUAUGAAAUUAAAUCCACAUGCCAUAAUACUCGAGACAUGUAUUUACAUUCCUUAUGAGCAACAUUAAAUAAAAAGCUAAUAGGACUGGUAAUAGAACACUUGACAUUAAACAUUAAACCCAAGUUAGGAAAAUAUAAAUCCCAAUCCGCAACCCAAAUCUUCAGGAAACUAAAUCCACCUGCUAUAAUACUAGAGACAUGUAUUUACAUUCCUCAUUAGCCACAUGAAAUACAAAGCUAAUGGAAAUAGUAAUAGAACACUUGACAGUAAACACUAAACCCAAGUUAGGUAAAUAUAAACCCCAAAACAUAGGCAAACCAAACCUUCGGGAAAUUAAAUCCACCUCUUAUAAUACUGGAGGUAUGUAUUUACAUGCCUUAUGGGUAACAUGAAAUACGAAGCUAAUGGGGAUGGUAAUAGAACACUUCUCACUAAACACUAAACCCAAAUUAGGAAAAUAUAAAACGCAAUACAUAGGCAACCCAAAUCUACAACAAAUUAAAUCAACCUGCCAUAAUACAUGAGUCAUCUAUUUACAUUCCUCAAGAGACAUGGAAUAUGCAAUGGGUUAAGACAUAGUAUAAUACAUAGUAUAGUAUAUAAAUAGUAUGGUAUAUAAAUAGCAACGCCUACACAUCAGAUAUGAACCCUUCGCCUCACGGUGAGCGUCCCGUAUUUCUUCACAAUUGAGGCCCGUUACAGAAGCAAAGCUUGUAUAGCAUAACAAAUUGGUUUCCCCACGAAGAGCCACCAGAGUUCGAAGUCCUUCUCAAGAACCAACUGUCGAGCAAGAAAAUAAUGAAAUUAUAUUCCAUGUGACAUAUACUAUUCCACAAAAUCAUCAUUAUUCCACAAUAAGUGUGCUAUAUACAUAUAAACAUAAUAAGUGUGCUAUAUACAUACGUGGAAUCAACUCGUGCAGAUACUAUUCUACAAAAUAAUCACUGUUUUUACACUAUGUACUAUCCAUAGCUGAUACAAAAUCUCAAUUCAAGCAUAAGAAAGAAGAACAUCAGAGGGAAACACAACCGACUAUAAAUUGUAGAAGCCAAUUUACCUACCAGAUCUGACAUUCACCAUAGAGAAGAUUGUAUAUUUAUCAGUGACAGAGACAAACAAGUGUAAUGCCAGAAAAACAAUGAUAUUCUGUGUAAUUCAAAAGGCUGACAGACUAAACAAAACGAGCAAACACACAAAGCAUAAAUCAAAAUGACAAUACAAUAAAUAUGUUACAAACAAGGAAAGGCCAGACAAGCAAAGCAGAAUAGCAAGUGAUACUAUCUUAAGUGAAAUAGUUCAAUUCGAUACGAAUACUGUUUCAUUUCAAAUGGACUCGAGUUUAUAAAUAUCAUACUAUGUCUACUUAGUGAGCAUUUGUAAGCUGUGAUAUUCUACACAUCUUCCCCUAAAUUACUACACUACUUAUUUUGCAGCACUGGCACAAAAAUAAUUCAAAUUAAAGGAACCCUCCCACAACCCGGAAAAACCCAAACCCUCAAUCAAAUUGGAAAAGGCCGAUGAGAGGGAUUAAUUAUGUAACGGUAUCGAUGGUAUGCAACAGGAACGAUGAUACUAUUCUAAAUGGAAUAGAUGAAUUAGAUAAGUAUACUAUGAGACGAGCCCAAAUAAAAGAAAAUAAACACAGAGGAAGCAAAGAUGAAGAGAAUUUACGGAAACAAGGGAGAAUUUACAAAAAAUUCAGAGAUCUGAGAAGAAUCGAGUUGGUGAAGUUGGAUAGGAAGGGUGUGUUACUAACCGCAGCUGAAACUCUAACGCGGAACCUUAACGCCGAACACGAUUGAAAGGAAGCACGAAGAAGAUGGAAAAGCUGUCGAUUGAAGGUAGAGGGGAGGAUUUGGAGCAAAUCGGUACCGGAAACCACUCAACCUCGAAAAAGUUAUCAACAAAAGUGAAAAUGGAAUUGUGAAUAGAGGUAAGACACGAGAUACCUUUUAUGCAGUUAAUAAUUUAAUUUUUAAUUAAUUUUGGUAGCAGGUUGGCCGGUUGAGUUUAAAGGGUAUUACAGUAUUAAUAUGUAUAUAUAACUCCGUGUACAGAAACGUUAGGAAAAAUAGCUAUUGUGUGUAUUAUAGUUUUUUUCAUGUCUAUAAACCCCAAUUUCCCAACUAAAAACAAACUUGGCUUACAAAAUAAGCUAAAAUAUAAGUAAAUAUCGGAGUUACUGUUCACCGAGUUACUAUUUACUUUAACAAUAUAUUUCUAUCAAAAUCCUCUAGAAGGCAUUUAGAGCAUGAUUAUUGGAGGGUUCUUAGGGUGAGGUUUUUAGUGGAAUAUAAGAAACCGUAUCUUAACUUUUAACUAAAAAAACUAAGAACCGGUUCUUAAAUCUCUUAUUUAAGAGCCGGUUCUUAGCUUUUUUAGUUAAAAGUUAAGAGACAAUUUCUUAUAUUUUGCUUAGAACUUUACCCUAAGAACCUCCCGUUAAUCAUGCUCUUAAACUCUUUCGAAUUCUAUUGAACUCUCUUCUUUUGUUAUUUAUCACUUCAUGUCAACAAUUGUUGCUGCUUAUUCUAGAACGUGUGUACGAGUUUAGGGAUGCGAGUAUUGCGGCUACAUGCAUCUGUAAUUGUUACGUUGGUUUGGUCUUGCUAUAAAGAAACUCAAUCUCUUAUCCAUGGAUGAACUUGAAUAAAUACCAUCAAGAUUUCAUGAACAGAAUGUCUGAGUAAGGUGACUAUAAAGCUCUGCUGGGAAACGUUAUACACGUUCACUGUGAUAAGAGUUGAAUUUAAUGAACCAGUACACUCAAGUUUGGUGAGGUAACAUAUGUUAAACCUAAGACAUUAAAGGACAUAACAUAAAGCCAAUUGCAUGUGCAACACUUCACUGAUGCACGCUAAACUUCAAGCGAAUACUCACAAUCGAAUUGCAGUAAAUAUAGUUUUCGCUAUAUUUAGUACUAUAAUUUACAAGGGUGUAAAUGUUAAUAAAUUAUACUUUUGUAGUUUCAUACAACUUCAAAUCUUAAUUUUAGAUUUAGUAUAUGGAUGAAAAAAACUAAUCUUAAACUAUUUCCAUGAGGAUACAUUAACCAAUAUUUGUUGUUUACGAACUUUUUUUCCUAAUAACUUCACAUUUAAUAUACGUAAUACAUGCACGUGGUAUUCUCUUAUAGAGGAUUCUAUCUAAUCUUACCCAAAAGUAAUCAUUUUUUUUUGCCAAAAUGUGAAUUUCAUAUUAAUAUGAGAAGAGUUUGUAAUUGCUUACAAAAAUUUUUAGAUAAAAGCUUGAGUCAGCCUUGGACAAAAAAAUAAAACAAAGCUGAGUCAACAUAAGCAUUUAAAGAACCGGCAUGUUAUUCAAACCGUAGCCAUUGCUGCAUAAGUGGGAUAAAGGGCUUUAGUUUCCUUUUUCUCAGGAUUGUAUCCCUUAUGAAGCGAUCAAGGAUUUUGAACAUAGCUGCUGGACUUCGAGUUUUACCAUCAUGUAGACGUCUAUUCCUCUCAGUCCAGAUGCUUGAUAUUGUUGCUUGAGAGACGAGUUUCUUGAGCGUUCGGCUUGUGACAGCAUCUUGCAUAGAUAACCAAUCAGAGAGAGCAAUCCCAAAAGUAAUCAUGGAAACGAGGAAUCACACAUGGAUUUCCAUUCUGUAACAUUGUACUUUGGAUUCUCCACUAUAAUUCGUAGUACACCUUUGCUCUCGUGUCUCUGCCGGACCAGAUUAAAACUACAGUAUCUUCCCCAAACAAACUCUAUUUUUACAUUUUAUCUUUUUUUAAUAUAUAAAAAGGCUUGAGAAAAAUAAUUCUAGGCAUAUCGUAAAACGUACGCCUACAUUCGUAACGUAUCGAGAACACGUUCUAUUCUAUCCAUUUUAUCCAGUUCAAACGUUUCUUUACCACCCACGUAUAUUCCAAUCAUUUAAAAAUUAUAUAUGAGACUUUCAUUCCCAUAUUUUUCAUGUAUGAGCUUAUCCUCUCCUAAUCUCAAGUGUUUUAUUAAAGUCAAAUUACAUAUUUUAGAAAUGUUUAUAUAGAAAAUCUUUUAAACAUAUAGUAUUUGACUUUGUAGUCUCUAAAAAUGAUGUAAUUGAAUUUUUGGUAUAAAUAAAUUACAGUCCAGUCCGGAACGUGGUAAGAGAAGAUGGUUGGGACGACACGUUUUAAGUUCGAUCUAUUUGCCGCGUGAAACUAAGUCACAUUGUUCUGGACAAAUACUUACGACACAUUUACAUAUCUGGAAAAAAGAUAUAUCCGUAGACUACACUUUUUUUGGAAAUUAGUCUCGGCACAUAAAUCCGAGAUACUUCCAGAUUAAUCAAAAAAAUAAAUAAAUAAAUAAGUAAAUUACCGUUCAUGUGGUCAAAAGGUUGCACAAUAUAUUACUACCGCCAACCAAUUAUUUAAAUAUGAAUUAUUGUUAGUUUUGGGAGAAAUAUACGAUAUCCUUAAAUGUUUUACCAAAAUGAAUUUCUCAAAAAAAAAAAAAAAUUUACCAAAAUGAACGAUAAAUCAAAGGUACAGAUCUCCACCAAUAUUUUUAUUCCAAAGAAUAAAAUCGAAUGUCACUUUUCUAUUAUACACAAAAAGAUAAAUAAUAAAAUUAAAAAAUUAAUUGGAACAUUUGAGAUUUGAGAGAAUAGGAAUCAGAAGAAGCAGCCUAACACUGACAUUACUAAGGAAUUUACAUUAUUAAGGUAAUAUAUCUGACGAUUCUUCACUCACACAAAAAAAAAAAAUUUGGAAGCAUAUCCCCUGUAUAUUAAUCGAAGAACAUUUGAAAAGAUGUAACCUCAAUUUUGUAAUAAUUAAAAUUUUAUAGGAAAUUUACUCUUUUGUGAUAGAAUAAUACUAUUCUGAAUCUCUUAAUUAAUUCUACGUGUCAGCCUCACAUUAAAAUUGAAAUACAUGUUAGUCCAAUUCGAUUUUUAUAUCUCACUAGAAACAUUUAACAAACCAAACCUUCAGGAAAUUAAAUCCACCUCUUAUAAUACUGGAGGUAUGUA
RNAcentral lists this long non-coding RNA (5230 nucleotides) under Brassica napus (rape). RNAcentral's name for it is "long non-coding RNA (BNAP_LNC009226)". The stretch from base 2553 to 2677 matches the Rfam family "MIR9563 microRNA precursor family". The record is from RNAcentral. Lineage: Eukaryota; Viridiplantae; Streptophyta; Magnoliopsida; Brassicales; Brassicaceae.